RNAcentral lists this ribosomal RNA (253 nucleotides) under uncultured bacterium. Its description in RNAcentral is "partial 16S ribosomal RNA". It matches the Rfam family "Bacterial small subunit ribosomal RNA", at positions 524 to 776 of the family's 1533-position model. The record is from RNAcentral.
UACGUAGGGUGCGAGCGUUAAUCGGAAUUACUGGGCGUAAAGCGCGCGUAGGCGGGCGUCUAAGUCAGGGGUGAAAUCCCAGGGCUCAACCCUGGAACUGCCUUUGAUACUGGAUGCCUGGAGUUCGGGAGAGGUGAGUGGAAUUCCGAGUGUAGAGGUGAAAUUCGUAGAUAUUCGGAGGAACACCAGAAGCGAAGGCGGCUCACUGGCCCGAUACUGACGCUGAGGCGCGAAAGCGUGGGGAGCGAACAGG